AAUCUACCUUAUAUGGGGGGACAACUCGAGGAAACUCGAGCUAAUACCGCAUAAGCCUUACGAGGGAAAGCAAGGGAUCUUCGGACCUUGUGCUAUUAGAUGAGCCUGCGUCGGAUUAGCUUGUUGGUAGGGUAAUGGCCUACCAAGGCAACGAUCCGUAGCUGGUCUGAGAGGAUGACCAGCCACACUGGGACUGAGACACGGCCCAG
This 209-nucleotide ribosomal RNA is filed under the name uncultured bacterium. RNAcentral's name for it is "partial 16S ribosomal RNA". It matches the Rfam family "Bacterial small subunit ribosomal RNA", at positions 123 to 334 of the family's 1533-position model. The record is from RNAcentral.